Cebus imitator (Panamanian white-faced capuchin) is the source of this 3610-nucleotide RNA transcript. It is a transcript of the gene named ring finger protein 216, with no coding region annotated. NCBI's taxonomy places the organism in Eukaryota, Metazoa, Chordata, Mammalia, Primates, Cebidae. The record is from RefSeq and is a predicted model, not a curated record. The transcript is spliced from 18 exons.
AGCACCCGGCGUGCCUCUAUGGUUCUUCCUGUCCUUAGUCGGGAGGGGGCGCUGUGCGCAGGCGCGAGGUGACGCCGCGGCAGGGCCGGAAGGAGUGCAGCGGCUGCCUCAGCGGCGGCGACGGAGCUCACAGCUGCCGCUUCUGAGGAGUAAGCUGCACGGCAGCGAAGGCCGCUGAGCCCGCCUGGCUAGCCGGGGAGUUGAGUGGCGAGCCUUUUGAAACAGAUGGGCACCAUGUUUAGAUACUAGCAGUUGCAUAUGUGCAUGUCUGCAUUUGAAAAUGGCAGAGGGAAACAACAAUGAAGAGGUAAUUCACUUGAACAACUUUCAUUGCCAUCGGGGACAAGAGUGGAUCAAUCUCAGAGAUGGGCCUAUCACCAUAUCUGACUCCUCAGAUGAGGAAGGGAUUCCAAUGCUGGUCACCCCAGCUCCUCAGCAACAUGAAGAAGAGGACCUGGAUGAUGAUGUCAUCCUGACAGAAACAAAUAAACCUCAGACAUCACGACCCAAUCUCAUCAAACCAGCUGCCCACUGGCAAGAUCUGAAAAGGUUGGGAGAAGAAAGGCCUAAAAAGUCUAGAGCAGCAUUUGAAUCAGAUAAAAGCCGCUAUUUUUCAGUGUAUAACAACCCGUUGUUUGAUUCUGGGGCACAGGAUGAUUCUGAGGAUGACUACGGUGAAUUUCUGGAUCUUGGGCCUCCUGGAGUCUCUGAAUUCACUAAGCCAAGUGUCCAAACAGAUAGAGAACCCAAGCCUGGACCGAGUCGUAACCAAGCAGCAAAUGACAUUGUCAGCCCCAGAUCAGAGCAGAAAGUCGUCAUCUUGGAAGAAGGUAGCCUUCUUUACACAGAAAGCGAUACUUUGGAAACUCAGAACCAGUCAUCCGAAGACUCAGAAACAGAGCUGUUAUCAAAUCUGGGAGAGUCAUCUGCUCUAGCAGAUGAUCAGGCCAUCGAAGAAGACUGCUGGCUAGAUCAUCCUUACUUCCAGUCUCUGAACCAACAGCCCCGUGAGAUAACAAACCAGGUUGUUCCUCAGGAACGGCAGCCUGAAGCAGAGCUGGCCCGCUUGUUGAUUCAGCAUGAAUUCCCCGGGCCAGCUUUUCCAAGGCCAGAACCCCAGCAAGGUGGGGUUUCAGGCCCCUCUUCUCCUCAGUCUGCCCAUCCUCUAGGAGAGUUUGAAGACCAACAGUUAGCAAUUGAUGAUGAAGAGCCAGGUCCAGCCUUUCCAAUGCAAGAAUCUCAAGAGCCCAAUUUGGAAAACAUUUGGGGGCAAGAGGCUACAGAGGUAGAUCAAGAACUUGUUGCACUAUUAGUGAAGGAAACGGAAGCAAGAUUUCCAGAUGUAGCAAAUGGAUUUAUUGAGGAAAUAAUUCAUUUGAAGAAUUAUUAUGAUCUGAAUGUACUUUGUAAUUUUCUUCUGGAAAAUCCAGAUUAUCCAAAGAGAGAAGAUAGAAUCAUUAUAAAUCCCAGUAGCAGUCUGCUGGCCAGCCAAGAUGAGACAAAGUUGCCUAAAAUAGACUUUUUUGACUAUUCUAAGUUGACUCCUCUAGACCAGCGCUGCUUCAUCCAAGCCGCCGACCUCCUUAUGGCUGACUUCAAAAUGCUCAGUAGUCAGGACAUUAAGUGGGCCCUGCAUGAGCUUAAAGGACACUAUGCCAUCACCCGAAAGGCCUUUUCCGAUGCCAUUAAAAAAUGGCAGGAGCUAUCACCAGAAACCAGUGGAAAAAGGAAGAAGAGAAAAGAAAUGAAUCAGUAUUCUUACAUUGAUUUCAAGUUUGAACAAGGUGACAUAAAAAUAGAAAAGAGGAUGUUCUUUCUGGAAAAUAAGCGGCGACAUUGUAGGUCCUAUGACCGGCGUGCUCUCCUCCCAGCUGUGCAGCAAGAGCAGGAGUUCUAUGAGCAGAAAAUCAAAGAGAUGGCAGAGCAUGAAGACUUUUUGCUUGCCCUGCAGAUGAAUGAAGAACAGUAUCAAAAGGACGGCCAGCUAAUUGAGUGCCGCUGCUGCUAUGGGGAAUUUCCAUUUGAGGAGCUGACGCAGUGUGCAGAUGCUCACUUGUUCUGCAAAGAAUGUCUCAUCAGAUAUGCCCAAGAGGCAGUCUUUGGAUCUGGAAAGUCGGAGCUCAGCUGCAUGGAAGGCAGCUGCACAUGUUCGUUCCCAACUAGUGAGCUGGAGAAGGUGCUCCCCCAGACCAUCCUGUAUAAGUAUUAUGAGCGAAAAGCUGAGGAGGAGGUUGCAGCAGCCUACGCUGACGAGCUCGUCAGGUGCCCCUCCUGUAGCUUUCCUGCUCUGUUGGACAGUGAUGUGAAGAGGUUCAGCUGUCCUAAUCCUCGCUGCCGAAAGGCGUCUGCAGCGCUGGUGACUUGCCACAUGGCCAGGAGUGUGAGAGCAGAGGGGCUGAGACCGGGACUGCUCUCAGGAAACCUGUAGGAAGUGUCAGGGACUCUGGAAAGAACAUAAUGGCCUCACCUGUGAAGAGCUGGCUGAAAAAGAUGACAUCAAGUACCGUACCUCUAUUGAAGAAAAAAUGACUGCUGCCCGCAUUAGAAAAUGCCACAAGUGUGGGACUGGCCUCAUCAAAUCUGAAGGCUGCAACCGCAUGUCUUGCCGCUGUGGUGCCCAGAUGUGCUACCUCUGUCGAGUUUCUAUCAAUGGAUAUGACCAUUUCUGCCAGCAUCCCCGCUCCCCAGGAGCCCCUUGCCAGGAGUGUUCACGAUGCUCUCUCUGGACUGACCCCACUGAAGAUGAUGAGAAGCUUAUUGAGGAAAUUCAGAAGGAAGCUGAAGAGGAACAGAAAAGAAAGAAUGGAGAGAACACCUUCAAACGCAUCGGACCCCCACUGGAGAAGCCCAUGGAGAAGGUACAGAGGGUGGAGGCCCUCCCAAGGCCUGUCCCACAGAACCUGCCGCAGCCACAGAUGCCACCCUAUGCCUUUGUGCACCCACCCUUCCCCCUGCCGCCCGUGCGGCCCGUGUUCAACAACUUCCCACUCAACAUGGGACCCAUCCCAGCCCCGUAUGUGCCCCCGCUGCCCAAUGUGCGGGUCAACUAUGACUUUGGUCCUGUCCACAUGCCCCUGGAGCACAACCUGCCCAUGCACUUUGGCCCCCAGCCACGGCAUCGCUUCUAAUGGCCCGGAACCCCCACUGAGCAGGACAGAGCCCAUUUGGGGUGGGGGUGUGGGAUGGAGAACACUCCCCUCCCCCAAGGCUGGUGGCUGUGCCAUUGCUUCCUAAGUCAGGUUGAAGGGUAGGCUGGUUUUCUUCCCACCUCUUUCCUAGAAGGGCCAUUGCUCCUGAAACAGUGGCCACAGCUGCUGGCCCUCUGGGGGGCCUGCAUGGGAUUGGUUUGGCUCCCACUCGGCAGAGUCAAAAGGGCCUCAAAGCCCUUCUUUGAAGAGUUCUGCCAUCCUGGCAGGUAGCAUGGUGGCCCUGGCUGCUGUGUCACUCCAGUCCCUGCAGAAAGAAACCAAGAGGAAAUAUUUUGCCUCCAUUCACUUUUUCCCCUAGCAAACACCAGGGAAAAAAACCUCUCAGAAUUAAAACCACAUGAGCCUUCCUUAUAUAGCACAGACAGAUCCAUAAUAAAGAUGAAAAUGGUGGAGUUCAGAGA